GAAUUCACUAGUGAUUCCUUUUAUUCGUUGAGCGAUGGCCCUUCCAUACAGAACCACCGGAUCACUAAGACCUACUUUCGUACCUGCUCGACGUGUCUGUCUCGCAGUCAAGCGCGCUUUUGCCUUUAUACUCUGCGACCGAUUUCCGACCGGUCUGAGCGCACCUUCGUACUCCUCCGUUACUCUUUAGGAGGAGACCGCCCCAGUCAAACUGCCCACCAUACACUGUCCUCGAUCCGGAUCACGGACCAGAGUUAGAACCUCAAGCAUGCCAGGGUGGUAUUUCAAGGAUGGCUCCACGCGAACUGGCGUCCACGCUUCAAAGCCUCCCACCUAUCCUACACAAGCAGGCUCAAAGUCCAGUGCAAAGCUACAGUAAAGGUUCACGGGGUCUUUCCGUCUAGCCGCGGAUACACUGCAUCUUCACAGCGAUUUCAAUUUCACUGAGUCUCGGGUGGAGACAGCGCCGCCAUCGUUACGCCAUUCGUGCAGGUCGGAACUUACCCGACAAGGAAUUUCGCUACCUUAGGACCGUUAUAGUUACGGCCGCCGUUUACCGGGGCUUCGAUCAAGAGCUUCGCUUGCGCUAACCCCAUCAAUUAACCUUCCGGCACCGGGCAGGCGUCACACCCUAUACGUCCACUUUCGUGUUUGCAGAGUGCUGUGUUUUUAAUAAACAGUCGCAGCGGGCCUGGUAUCUUCGACCAGCCAGAGCUUACGGAGUAAAUCCUUCACCCUAGCCGGCGCACCUUCUCCCGAAGUUACGGGGCCAUUUUGCCUAGUUCCUUCACCCGAGUUCUCUCAAGCGCCUUGGUAUUCUCUACCCGACCACCUGUGUCGGGUUGGGGUACCGGUUCCUGUUUACUUGAAGCUUAGAAGCUUUUCUGGGAAGCAUGGCAUCAACCACUUCGUCAUCUAAAAGACGACUUGUCAUCAGCUCUCGGCCUUGAAACCCCGGAUUUACUUAAGAUUUCAGCCUACUACUUUAAACUUGGACAACCAACGCCAAGCUGGCCUAGCCUUCUCCGUCCCUCCAUCGCAGUAACCAGAAGUACAGGAAUAUUAACCUGUUUCCCAUCGACUACGCUUUUCAGCCUCGCCUUAGGAACCGACUAACCCUGCGUCGAUUAACGUUGCGCAGGAACCCUUGGUCUUUCGGCGUGGGUGUUUUUCACACCCAUUGUCGUUACUCAUGUCAGCAUUCGCACUUCUGAUACCUCCAGCAAGCUUCUCAACUCACCUUCACAGGCUUACAGAACGCUCCUCUACCGCGUCACUUACGUGACACCCGCAGCUUCGGUGUGUGGUUUGAGCCCCGUUACAUCUUCCGCGCAGGCCGACUCGACUAGUGAGCUAUUACGCUUUCUUUAAAGGAUGGCUGCUUCUAAGCCAACCUCCUAGCUGUCUAAGCCUUCCCACAUCGUUUACCACUUAACCACAACUUUGGGACCUUAGCUGGCGGUCUGGGUUGUUUCCCUUUUCACGACGGACGUUAGCACCCGCCGUGUGUCUCCCAUGCUCGGCACUUCUGGGUAUUCGGAGUUUGCAUCGGUUUGGUAAGUCGGGAUGACCCCCUAGCCGAAACAGUGCUCUACCCCCCAGAGUGAUACAUGAGGCGCUACCUAAAUAGCUUUCGAGGAGAACCAGCUAUCUCCGAGCUUGAUUAGCCUUUCACUCCGAUCCACAAGUCAUCCCCUACCUUUUCAACGGGAGUGGGUUCGGUCCUCCAGUCAGUGUUACCUAACCUUCAACCUGCUCAUGGAUAGAUCGCCCGGUUUCGGGUCUAUACCCAGCGACUAAACGCCCUAUUAAGACUCGCUUUCGCUACGCCUACCCUAUACGGUUAAGCUUGCCACUGAAUAUAAGUCGCUGACCCAUUAUACAAAAGGUACGCAGUCACCUAACAAGUAGGCUCCCACUGCUUGUACGCAUACGGUUUCAGGUUCUAUUUCACUCCCCUCUCCGGGGUUCUUUUCGCCUUUCCCUCACGGUACUGGUUCACUAUCGGUCAGUCAGUAGUAUUUAGCCUUGGAGGAUGGUCCCCCCAUGUUCAGACAAAGUUUCUCGUGCUCCGUCCUACUCGAUUUCACUUCAAAGAUCCUUUCGCGUACGGGGCUAUCACCCACUAUGGCCGCACUUUCCAGAGCGUUCCGCUAAAAUCAAUGAAGCUUAAGGGCUAAUCCCCGUUCGCUCGCCACUACUAAGGGAAUCUCGGUUGAUUUCUUUUCCUCAGGGUACUUAGAUGUUUCAGUUCCCCUGGUUCGCCUCUUGCACCUAUGGAUUCAGUACAAGAUACCUAGGUUAUCCUAGGUGGGUUCCCCCAUUCAGAGAUCUCCGGAUUAAAGUCUGUUUGCCGACUCCCCGAAGCUUUUCGCAGGCUACCACGUCUUUCAUCGCCUCUGACUGCCAAGGCAUCCACCGUAUGCGCUUCUUCACUUGACCAUAUAACCCCAAGCAAUCUGGUUAUACUGUGAAGACGACAUUCGCCGAAAAUUCGCGCUUGAACUCGCAAAUUUUACCUUGACUUGAAUGAUCACCAGUGAAAGAGAUCAUUCAGUCUUACUUCUAUCACAUACCCGAAUUUUUAAAGAACAGUUCUGGUGCAAAGACCAGAAAUCAAUGUUCAUCUACGAACAUUCAUUUCUGAGCUUUCGACGAUUGUUUUAGAUGGUGGAGCCAAGGAGGAUCGAACUCCUGACCUCCUGCGUGCAAAGCAGGCGCUCUCCCAGCUGAGCUAUGGCCCC
This 2744-nucleotide ribosomal RNA is filed under the name Pseudomonas aeruginosa. RNAcentral describes it as "partial 23S ribosomal RNA". The record is from RNAcentral. Lineage: Bacteria; Pseudomonadati; Pseudomonadota; Gammaproteobacteria; Pseudomonadales; Pseudomonadaceae.